GACGAACGCUGGCGGCGUGCUUAACACAUGCAAGUCGAACGGUAAGGCCCUUCGGGGUACACGAGUGGCGAACGGGUGAGUAACACGUGGGUGAUCUGCCCUGCACUUCGGGAUAAGCCUGGGAAACUGGGACUAAUACCGGAUAGGACUCCGGACUGCAUGGUCUGGGGUGGAAAGCUUUUGCGGUGUGGGAUGGGCCCGCGGCCUAUCAGCUUGUUGGUGGGGUGAUGGCCUACCAAGGCGACGACGGGUAGCCGGCCUGAGAGGGUGACCGGCCACACUGGGACUGGGAGACGGCCCAGACUCCGACGGGAGGCAGCAGUGGGGAAUAUUGCACAAUGGGCGCAAGCCUGAUGCAGCGACGCCGCGUGAGGGAUGACGGCCUUCGGGUUGUAAACCUCUUUCAGCAUCGACGAAGCGAAAGUGACGGUAGGUGCAGAAGAAGGACCGGCCAACUACGUGCCAGCCGCCGCCGUAA
This 478-nucleotide ribosomal RNA is filed under the name uncultured bacterium. RNAcentral's name for it is "partial 16S ribosomal RNA". It matches the Rfam family "Bacterial small subunit ribosomal RNA", at positions 28 to 523 of the family's 1533-position model. The record is from RNAcentral.